RNAcentral lists this ribosomal RNA (492 nucleotides) under uncultured Actinomycetales bacterium. RNAcentral's name for it is "partial 16S ribosomal RNA". Lineage: Bacteria; Bacillati; Actinomycetota; Actinomycetes; Actinomycetales. The record is from RNAcentral.
CACGUAGUUAGCCGGCGCUUCUUCUGCAGGUACCGUCACUUGCGCUUCUUCCCUGCUGAAAGAGGUUUACAACCCGAAGGCCGUCAUCCCUCACGCGGCGUCGCUGCAUCAGGCUUGCGCCCAUUGUGCAAUAUUCCCCACUGCUGCCUCCCGUAGGAGUCUGGGCCGUGUCUCAGUCCCAGUGUGGCCGGUCGCCCGUCUCAGGCCGGCUACCCGUCGUCGCCUUGGUGAGCCGUUACCUCACCAACAAGCUGAUAGGCCGCGGGCUCAUCCCUGCACCGGCCGGUAGCUUUUCCACACAGAGGAGAUGCCUCCCUGUGUCGUAUCCGGUAUUAGACCCCGGUUUCCAGGGCUUGUCCCAGAGUGCAGGGCAGAUUGCCCACGUGUUACUCACCCGUUCGCCACUAAUCCACCCCCGAAGGGGCUUCAUCGUUCGACUUGCAUGUGUUAAGCACGCCGCCAGCGUCGUCCUCGAGCCAGGAUCGAACUACG